CUGUCCUCCUGCAAACCUCCUUCUCUACACCCACUCUGUCCUCCUCCUCUCUUUCCCCCUCUGUCCUCCUUCAUACCUCCUCCUCUCCUCCCCUCUCUCCACCCUCUCCUUCCCCCUCUGUCCUCCUUCAUACCUCCUCCUCUCCUCCCCUCUCUCCACCCUCUCCUUCCCCCUCUGUCCUCCUUCAUACCUCCUCCUCUCCUCCCCACCCUCUCCUUCUCCCCCCUGUCCUCCUUCAUACCUCCUUCUCUACACCCACUCUGUCCACCUCCUCUCCUUCCCCCUCUCCUCCUUCAUACAUCCUCCUCUCCUCCCACUCUGUCCUCCUUCAUACCUCCUCUUCUCAUCUCCUCCCUCUCCCUACCCUCUCCUUCCCCCACUCUGUCCUCCUUCAUACCUCCUCCUCUCAUCUCCUCCCUCUCCCUACCCUCUCCUUCCCCCACUCUGUCCUCCUUCAUACCGCCUCCUUUCCUCCCCUCUCUCCACCCUCUCCUUUUCCCCACUGUCCUCCUUCAUACCUCCUCCUUUCCUCCCCUCUCUCCACCCUCUCCUUCCCCCACUCUGUCCUCCUUCAUACCUCCCCUCUAUCCACCCUCUCCUUCCCCCACUGUCCUCCUCCAUACCUCCUCCUCUCCUCCCUCUCCCUACCCUCUCCUUCCCCCACUCUGUCCUCCUUCAUACCUCCUCCUCUCCUCCCCUCUCUCCACCCUCUCCUUCCCCCACUCUGUCCUCCUUCAUACCUCCUCCUCUCCUCCCCUCUCUCAACCCUCUCCUUCUCCCCACUGUCCUCCUUCAUACCUCCUCCUCUCCUCCCCUCUCUCCACCCUCUCCUUCUCCCCACUGUCCUUCAUACCUCCUAUCCUCCCCUCUCUCCACCCUCUCCUUCUCCCCACUGUCCUCCUUCAUACCUCCUCCUCUCCUCCCCUCUCUCCACCCUCUCCUUCUCCCCACUGUCCUCCUUCAUACCUCCUCCUCUCCUCCCCUCUCUCCACCCUCUCCUUCUCCCCACUGUCCUCCUUCAUACCUCCUCCUAUCCUCCCCUCUCUCCACCCUCUCCUUCCCCCACUCUGUCCUCCUUCUCUCCUCCCCUCUCUCCACCCUCUCCUUCUCCCCCUGUCCUCCUUCAUACCUCCUCCUCUCCUCCCCUCUCUCCACCCUCUCCUUCUCCCCACUGUCCUCCUUCAUACCUCCUUCUCUCCUCCCCUCUCUCCACCCUCUCCUUCUCCCCACUGUCCUCCUUCAUACCUCCUUCUCUCCUCCCCUCUCUCCA
This 1270-nucleotide long non-coding RNA is filed under the name Oncorhynchus mykiss (rainbow trout). RNAcentral's name for it is "lncRNA (ENSOMYG00000068383.1)". Lineage: Eukaryota; Metazoa; Chordata; Actinopteri; Salmoniformes; Salmonidae. The record is from RNAcentral.